UACGGGGGGGGCAAGCGUUGUUCGGAAUUACUGGGCGUAAAGCGCGCGCAGGCGGCUAUCCAAGUCAGUGGUGAAAGCCCGGAGCUCAACUCCGGAACUGCCUUUGAUACUGGGGAUCUUGAGUCCGGAAGAGGUGAGUGGAACUCCGAGUGUAGAGGUGAAAUUCGUAGAUAUUGGGAAGAACACCAGUGGCGAAGGCGGCUAACUGGUCCAGAUCUGACGCUGAGGUGCGAAAGCGUGGGGAGCAAACAGG
This 253-nucleotide ribosomal RNA is filed under the name uncultured bacterium. Its description in RNAcentral is "partial 16S ribosomal RNA". It matches the Rfam family "Bacterial small subunit ribosomal RNA", at positions 524 to 776 of the family's 1533-position model. The record is from RNAcentral.